UACGUAGGGGGCAAGCGUUGUCCGGAAUUAUUGGGCGUAAAGAGCUCGUAGGCGGUCUGUUGCGUCCGCUGUGAAAACUCAGGGCUUAACCCUGAGCUUGCAGUGGGUACGGGCAGACUAGAGUGCGGUAGGGGAGACUGGAAUUCCUGGUGUAGCGGUGAAAUGCGCAGAUAUCAGGAGGAACACCGGUGGCGAAGGCGGGGUCUCUGGGCCGUAACUGACGCUGGAGGAGCGAAAGCAUGGGAGCGAACAGG
Molecule: ribosomal RNA, 254 nt
Filed under: uncultured bacterium
Lineage: Bacteria
Description: partial 16S ribosomal RNA
Rfam family: Bacterial small subunit ribosomal RNA
Source: RNAcentral